This 255-nucleotide ribosomal RNA is filed under the name uncultured bacterium. Its description in RNAcentral is "partial 16S ribosomal RNA". It matches the Rfam family "Bacterial small subunit ribosomal RNA", at positions 524 to 777 of the family's 1533-position model. The record is from RNAcentral.
UACGAAGGGGGCUAGCGUUGCUCGGAAUCACUGGGCGUAAAGGGUGCGUAGGCGGGUCUUUAAGUCAGGGGUGAAAUCCUGGAGCUCAACUCCAGAACUGCCUUUGAUACUGAGGAUCUUGAGUUCGGGAGAGGUGAGUGGAACUGCGAGUGUAGAGGUGAAAUUCGUAGAUAUUCGCGAAGAACACCAGUGGCGAAGGCGGCUCACUGGCCCGAUACUGACGCUGAGGCACGAAAGCGUGGGGAGCAAACAGGG